This 309-nucleotide ribosomal RNA is filed under the name uncultured bacterium. RNAcentral's name for it is "partial 16S ribosomal RNA". It matches the Rfam family "Bacterial small subunit ribosomal RNA", at positions 504 to 808 of the family's 1533-position model. The record is from RNAcentral.
AGAGACAGCAGUAGCCGCGGGAAUACGUAGGUGGCAAGCGUUGUCCGGAAUUAUUGGGCGUAAAGGGCUCGCAGGCGGUUUCUUAAGUCUGAUGUGAAAGCCCCCGGCUCAACCGGGGAGGGUCAUUGGAAACUGGGAAACUUGAGUGCAGAAGAGGAGAGUGGAAUUCCACGUGUAGCGGUGAAAUGCGUAGAGAUGUGGGGAACACCAGUGGCGAAGGCGACUCUCUGGUCUGUAACUGACGCUGAGGAGCGAAAGCGUGGGGAGCGAACAGGAUUAGAUACCCCAGUAGUCCCUGUCUCUUAUACC